UCAAACUCAGAAAUCUGCCUGCCUCUGCCUCCCAAGUGCUAGGAUUAAAGGCAUGCGCCACCCUCGCCCUGCCUGGGUUCUUUAUCUUAGUCUUCAAUUAUCUCAGCAAAUCCUGCUCUAGGAUGGGAGAAAUGGUUCAGUAUUUAAGCCUGUGAUUUUGUUGUAAAGGACCUGGAUUCUAUCCAGCACUCAGUUCAGGUGGCUGAAACACCUGUCUACAGAUCCAGCAGGCUCUGACACCUCUCUUGUGUACACAGGACAGACUUACAGACUCAUCAUCUAUUGUUAUCUAAACAGAGCCAUAAACUUCUGCAUAGACAGACUCAAUCCUCUGCCUGCUAAUGGAAUGCUGGGAACAGAUAAAAGGCCACUGUGAAAAGGUCCUCCAGUUGAUGUGGAGGGUUUUUUGUUUUGUUUUGUUUUCUAGACUCUAUGGUCCUCAGUAGGAGAGGGCCAGUUCAGAGGCAAGGGUGUUAGUGGUGGAGUAGAGUAGGCUCCUGAGGCUGCUGGAUCGAUAACGCCCACUGUGGGUUCAUUACCAGACCCAUGCCCAGCCCUGUUCCAUCACCCAAACUUGCUCAGAAGGAUUCCAGCCCUGAGCCCCAGCAGAUGGGGUCCGCAGGGUGUAAUAGCUCCAGCCUGUCAAUUUGAAAUUGGCAGUGAGAUGAGACUUGUACCCACUCCUCAUUCGAAUCCCAUGGUACCAGGAACUUCUUGGAAUGCAUUGGGCCUAUAAAAUAACCGGCCCUAUCAUAUACCUUGCAGCAGCUCCUGGUGCUCUACAAUCCUUUAGCUGUGCAAAUAAUUAUCUAAGAAUGAGCCACAAAUGUGCUUCCUUUUUAAACAAAGAUCAGUUGUUUUCUGUUUAAAUAUUUACUUGGGUUUUUUUUUUUUGAACUUUUAUUGGUUCUUUAUAAAUUUCACAUCACCAACCCCAAUUCUACUCAUUCCUUUCCUGCCUCCACCCUUGCAACCUCUCCUCCAACAGAGAAAAACAAAAAUCUCAUUGUCACAGUGUGUCCCGCAGUCUACUCUUUUGUCCACUCUUCUUUGCUUGCAAAUGUUCAUUGCAAUGAAUCAUUGGUCUGGUUUGAGACCUCUGGCUUCUGCUACACUAUCAGUACUGGAAGCUCAAUGGGACUCCUCUCAGAUAUCCUGUUGCUACAUAGUGUGAUGGAGAUGGUGCAGCCUUGGAUCUGUAAGACGGGCCCCUUCAUGUGCUCCAGCCGUUCAUAGAUGGGAUAGAUGUUGGAGUGGAUCUGGGCCUGAGAGGUAUCUGAGUUGGUCAGCCUGACAGCUCUCCUGCACCCACACCACUGGUGUGGCCAGCAAGGGGCAGAGCCAUCUAGCUCUGCUCUCCUGCCCUUGGUGCUGGCUCAUCCUCACCCAUGCCAUUAGGGUCAGCUAUACUGUGGUAUAGCUAUAGGGUCAGCUACACUGUGCUGCCCAGGCAAGGUGCAGGGCCCCGCUCUCCUGAGUGCUGCAGCAGGUCAGAACUGGGUCGGCUCUCCCUCCGUCAUGACCCCAGGGCCAGCUCUCCUACUCGAUAAAGUGGCAGGAUCGCAGUGGAGUACAGACCUACAGAAGAGGAUCUAGAUGCCAGGAGUGAAGAAGAACUGCAGAAUUUAAUCCAGGUCAGCUGCUCUUCUUGGAGUCAGCCCAGCCAAAGAGAGGAAGAAUGUCUCUCGGAUUUCCUGGAGGAGGAAGACCUGAAGCCCUGUGAACUGCACUAGCAGCUCUGACUGUCAGAGGACCUGCUGUCUGACUUGGAUGGGAAGUCCUGCCUGUUGGGAGCUAAGGCAUGGCCACCCGACCCUCUGCCCCUCGACUAGCCUGAGAACUGCCUGACAUUCACCUGGGUUGAAACAUCCUGUGCCUGUUUACCAAGAGGUAGUAUACCAAGACCUUCUGAAAAGAACUAGGAAAUGUUCUGGACCCCCUGCCAGCAUCUGCCGAAUGGACAACCCUGGAGUGAACCCAUUGUUCCCUGCCCCUCCCUUUUUCCACUUUUGUGAAGUAUAUAUUGAGCAGUUUGCUCUAAGUAAAGUAGACCUUGACAAACC
Mastomys coucha (southern multimammate mouse) is the source of this 2063-nucleotide RNA transcript. It is a transcript of the gene named RAD52 motif containing 1, with no coding region annotated. NCBI's taxonomy places the organism in Eukaryota, Metazoa, Chordata, Mammalia, Rodentia, Muridae. The record is from RefSeq and is a predicted model, not a curated record. The transcript is spliced from 3 exons.